Molecule: long non-coding RNA, 774 nt
Filed under: Piliocolobus tephrosceles (Ugandan red Colobus)
Lineage: Eukaryota; Metazoa; Chordata; Mammalia; Primates; Cercopithecidae
Description: lncRNA (ENSPTEG00000016026.1)
Source: RNAcentral
GAAAACAAAAAUUUAUAUGCUCUUAAUUUAGAGCAUAAUGAUUUAACAAAUAAUGGCCAGAAUGUUGAAGAAAUUAAUAUGUUGUUUGAAACUAUUAAAAAUAAAAAAACAAUAAAAAUUUUGAAUUUAUCAAAUACUAAUAUGAAUAAAAAUAAUGGUGAUAAAUUGUGUGAGAUGUUAGAAAAUAAUAAAGCCAUAAUAGAAAUGAAUUUUGAGAAUAGCGACUUCACGUGUGAUCAAAAUUGUAAAAUAAUAAAAUGUUUAAUAAGAAAUAAAAAUAUUUGGCUACAUCAAGCUGAAAUAGAGAAGGAGGAAAAUGAAAAGAUGGAAAAAGAAGAAAAUUAUAUGCAUACGUAUCAUAUGUCUGUAGAAGCUUCCAUUAUUGACAUUAAAAAUAAAGAAAAGCGACAAAGCUUGAAUAAAAUGGUUUACGUGAAUAUGUGGAAAAAAGAAAUAAAAGAGAAGGAACAAAAUAAAAAAAAUAUAUAUGAAUCCCUGGAGAAGGAACACGAAAAAAGAAUAAAAAGGGCUGCCGCAAAAAAAAAAAAGCAAAAAAAAAAGUAGACUUGUUAUAAAAAAAAUGUCAACUUUUUAUUAAGUGACAUUUUUAAAAUUAAUUAUUGUAGAAAUUUCUUUUUUGCACAAAAAAAAAGUAAAAUAUUAUUUAUUUAUUUAUUUAUUUAUUUUUUUUUUUUUUUAUUUUUUUUUUUUAAUGCUCAUGUUAUAUACAAUACUAAAAAUAAAAAAAGUGAACUGAUAUGAAAAAAAAAUUGA